This 76-nucleotide transfer RNA is filed under the name Escherichia coli. RNAcentral's name for it is "tRNA-Thr". It matches the Rfam family "tRNA". From Rfam's summary of the family: Transfer RNA (tRNA) molecules are approximately 80 nucleotides in length. Their secondary structure includes four short double-helical elements and three loops (D, anti-codon, and T loops). The record is from RNAcentral. Lineage: Bacteria; Pseudomonadati; Pseudomonadota; Gammaproteobacteria; Enterobacterales; Enterobacteriaceae.
GCCGACUUAGCUCAGCAGGCAGAGCAACUGACUUGUAAUCAGUAGGUCACGAGUUCGAUUCCGGUAGUCGGCACCA